UGAUUCUAGAGAACCCUGACGAAUUGCAUAAG
This 32-nucleotide non-coding RNA is filed under the name Mus musculus (house mouse). Lineage: Eukaryota; Metazoa; Chordata; Mammalia; Rodentia; Muridae. The record is from RNAcentral.